GGGGACCUUUGGGGCCCUAAACAUCGGCGGUCUAUAAAGAUACGCUAAGCAAACGGAAGACAGAAA
Molecule: non-coding RNA, 66 nt
Submitted as: unclassified sequences
Source: Rfam